Molecule: long non-coding RNA, 208 nt
Organism: Hordeum vulgare subsp. vulgare (domesticated barley)
Lineage: Eukaryota; Viridiplantae; Streptophyta; Magnoliopsida; Poales; Poaceae
Exons: 3
Source: RefSeq, a predicted model, not a curated record
UUAUCAACAAAUCACUCACGGCUCUUGGAAAUGUUAUCAAUGCCCUAACUACUGCUAAACCAAAUCACGUGCCUUACCGUGACUCGAAGCUUACACGCAUACUUCAAGAUGCACUGGGUGGCAGCUCAAGAGCUACAUUACUAUGCUGAUGUUCUCCUAGUUCGUCGAACGCACCAGAAAGUCUGUCUACCAUUCGCUUCGGAACCAG